GAACUUAUAGGCAUAAUUUUUAGAAUGCAGAUGUGCAGAACCUAUAGGCAUAAUUUUUAAAAUGUAGAAAUUAUAGGCAUGACUUCUAAGAUGCAGAAAUGCAGAAAACUUAUAGGCAUGCGUCCUAAAAUGCAGAAAUACAGAACUUAUAAAUAACCUAUGGGCAAGUUUUCUACCCUUUGCAUGCAUUCGUACCCAUCCCUUUACACUAGCCAUCCCCAAUAGUUAUUACAAAUUAUUACAGACUCGAAUGAGUAAAGAAAAAAAAAAGUAAAAUUACAUUAGAAGUUCAAGCUACAUCCAAAAAUCUUAAUUCAGACUCAAAGUCCAAUAAAUAUGAGAUAAACCAACUUUCAGGGUCAGAUUUCCAAAAGCCUUUCUCUUAUUUGGGAUGUGUCAAAGGUCCUAAGAGUAUCAAAGGGCUCUGGGCAGUGCUUACACCCUAAACACAUUGAAUAAUUAAGAUCAUAGUACAACAUGGAAAUGCCAGCCCUCAUAUGUCCAUGUUUAGAGGGAACUCAAGGUCCCAAAGCAAGGCUCAUAAGAGAGGGGCAGAACUUUAGAAUCUAAGAAUAAAUGGAAGUGCAUAGAGGGGAAUCAGGGAGAGCCAUGGAAGGCUAGUAGUCAUGUCCAAUAAUUGGUAAUGUUGGCACACUCUUGAUCAGCAUGUUAGCCAAACUUAAGAGUUAGGAUCCCUUGUGGAUCAGGUUAUAGCCUGGGCAAUAAUUUAGAUACUGUGAGACAAAAAACUUAACUCAAGCACAUAGAAGGAAAUAUGGGUAGGGAUUCACAAUGGAAAAUAUGCAAGGAAAGAACAUAAUUGGCAUAAAUCACUGUACAUGAACAGUAAAGCAAACAAGAGUACUGAAACUGUGAAGUAAACACAUAGGGAUGAAGCAGAAAACUAAAUGAAAAACAUACCAGUUUAAGGAAAACAAAUAAGAACACAGUAGUCUUGAGAGAGUCAAGUUGCAAACAAAGUGAUUCCAAAAUAUCUCAAGCAAGAAGAGUGUUGAAUUAAAAAAUAGUAUUGCAAGUGUGCAAGUACUGAAUUGGAAGACUAGUAGUGAAGGUGGUGUGAAGAUGAAAAUCGUAAAGUGUAAGGUUGUAGUUCUAAGGUGUUGAACUCGAAGCGUAGAUGAAAGUAUUGAAUUGGAAGUUUGUUAAAAGUGAAGAAGGGCAGUCCCUUUUAUAGUGUAGAGAAACAAGUAAGAAAGGCAAGGAAAUAUCAUUGAAAUCAGACACCCUUUGGUUAGGGGAUUAUGAUUCCAACAUGUGAAAAUUAGUUAAGGAAGGAAAUUUAUAAUUAAAACCUUUCAAAAUAUCAUAAAAGGGGUAAUUACGUAGACAUUAUUUAAGGAAAAUAAUCAAUAGUACACGAUUUGUGCCAAAUAUUGUAAGGGAAUCAAUCAAACAACAAUGAAACUAGAAUUAUAAGUUCAAUUUGAAUGAACCGAGUCAAGAAAGGUAAGGGAGGUUCAAUCAAAGAAAAAAUUAGUGCCAAAUCAUUAGCCUUAUUAUAGGGAUUUCAGAAUCAAUCACUUGGUUGGUGAAAAUCUUUUUGAAAGAGGAAUUUGAUCAUAUAUAAAGCACACAGAUAAAACAAAAAGAGUCGCUGGGUUACUAUAGAAAAAUAGUUUAACACUGAAAGCCUUAGAGUCAUAAGAAAAAAAGGAUUUCAAGUUCAAUUACAGACUCACAGUGAGUCUGAUAGCCUUGGGUCCCAAAGCGGAACCCUAGCACCACUUGUCAAAGAAACCUCCAAGACCUAGGGCUUCGAAUAGAGUCAGACAUGGAGGCGAGAAAACAAAGUCAUUGAAAGAAUCUCAGAAGUCUUUAUCAAAGUUUUAUGAGAGACAAACAUACAUAAUAAAAGAACAUUGAUUCAAGGUCAUGAGACCAUGUUUGAGAAAACUUGGAGCUAAAAAUAAGUUUAGAAGAAAGAGAUGAUACGAUGUUUUAAAUAGCAGUGGAGAAAAAUAUGCUUAGCAGGAACUCAAAUAGAGUUUAGUAAAGUGAAAAAAAUCACAGAAUUCAACCAUAAACACAUAUAGAAAAAAGUGAGGAAAACAACACAAAUUAAUAUGCGAGCAUAAGAUUAACAACAAAAGAUAGAAGAGUCUUGCAUAAUAUAACAGAAACUAGAGAGCAAAAUCAUGCAUAAUAAGAAGAAAACAUACAAGCAUAAGAAUCACAUAAAGAAAGAACAGGAAGAAGCGAAAAAAUAUUUGAAAAACCCUUUUCAGAAACCCUAAAAUCAAAUUUGAACGAUUUUGAAAAGGAAAUUUGGGGAAAACUUUUAAAAUGUCAAAUAACUCUCAGGCAUGUCAUAGAUCUAAAAGAAAUAAGCAAGUACAGAACCUCAGACGGCUUAGAGUUGUAGAGAAAACUCUAGAAUGAGAAAGGUCUUGAGGAAAGUUAGAUCCCGAGUCGAAGAGACUCAUAUUGCUUGAACACCGGAAUAAUGAUCGGAAAGGCCAUAGAUCUACAUAUCUGAGAAAGAUUUGAAGGGAACCAUCAGAGUCAGGCUUCAAAUCAUUGAAAAACUUAGGUUUAAUGGUGAUAGAGGGCGAGCAUAAGUCAUCCAUGGCCUGAAACGCCAUGGAUUCUGGUGGGAUCGUUGUGGAAUAAGGUAGGAUAUGGCUAGGGUUUCAGAGAUGCUAGAAAGAGUUUGAGAGAAGAAGAGGGUUUCAAAGGAGG
RNAcentral lists this long non-coding RNA (2700 nucleotides) under Nicotiana benthamiana. RNAcentral's name for it is "long non-coding RNA (NBEN_LNC025848)". The record is from RNAcentral. Lineage: Eukaryota; Viridiplantae; Streptophyta; Magnoliopsida; Solanales; Solanaceae.